ACGGCGUCAGGUGUCAGGUCUCGUACAAAUAGGCAUCAAACGAAACAGCCUCAGACCAAAGGCAUCAGACGAAACGGACUUAGAAAGAGUGUAGAAAUCAUAUGUUUCUGUGUUCAAGUGUUUGUUGAGUUGAGGUGAUGGAGUGAUUGAUCUGUAAAUGAUUGAACACAUGAGCUGCUCCUCAGUAAGGAGAUACGAUCAACAUUUAACACUCUUUACUUUAAACACACUCAAUCUAGUGUUGUCAGUUUCUGACCUGAAUACUGCUGUUAGACCCACCUGAAAAAAUAAAGCAGUCCAUUUCAUUUCCAUCUUUAUUCUGUUGUAUUUAUCUGUGCUAUUGUUCAUUUCUUCUUAUUUCAUUACUAUAUUCUUGUCUGUUUUAAUUCACUUUACCAUUUGAAAUCAAGCUUGUGCUGUGUGUGUAAGAUAUUGCUACAAAAUUACCCCAAAAACUAAUACAUUGAGUUACAAAUAUUUGUGAGAUAAUUGUAAUAAUUGAUCAACGUUUAUGUAUGAAAAAAUCUUAAAAGCUUUAUCAUAUAAAGUGAUCUCUUCAGAAGAGUUUUUGAUUGGAUAGACUUUCAAUAUAUGGAUAAAAAAUAAAUAAUAUGAAAAAUAUGACAGUAUAUACAGUGUUUUUCCCUGUGGUGUCGAAAAUGCUAUUGAAUAUUGAGACUUUUCAAGGUUUCGUAUGGAAGUUAUAAAUUCCAGUAUCGUGACAACACUAGUCAGGACUUUGAUACAUGAAGAACAAGAAUCAUUAAUGACCGUCACAUCCAUCUCUUUUCUGUGAUCAUCUUUACAUGUUAUUUAAUGUGAUAUAAAUUAUUUGUUAUAUUUGUUUUUAUAUAAGCUUUCCCUUUCAGACAAACACACACAAAUAACAUGGUAAAUCUCACAUUAAACAUGGUGAUCUGUGCUUUUUUAAAUAAUGAAGUCUCUGUUGAUGUGAGAGAGUGAAGAGUGUGUCAUUGUUCUCUACAGGUUGAGGAAGUGUGGUGUCACAGAUGAAGGUGGUGCUGCUCUGGCUUCAGCUCUGAGAUCAAACCCCUCACACCUGAGAGAACUGGAUCUGAAUUGGAAUAAACUAACACAGUCAGGAGUGAAGCUGCUGAAGGAUCUGGAGGAUGAUCCACAUUAUAAACUGAAGAUACUAAGGUUUAGAUGACAGUCUGAUCUUCUGAUGAUCAUCUGAUGGUGAAUAAGGAUCCACUACAGAGACUCACAGUCAACAGAAUCAGAGACUGAAGAUACAGUGACUUCACUGUUAUAAAUUAAGACUUCAUUCAGAUUUCAAUGAUCCUCUGACAGACAUGAUGAGGCGGCAGAGAAACACCUUUUAUUUCACAGCAGCAAAUUACAGUUUCUCAUUCAGAGAUUAACCAUUUUAUUUGUAUAAAGGCACAGAAUAAACUCAGAGUUUGUUACAGAGAAAAUAUAGAGCCUGAAUAUGUUUGUGUUUGUGUUGUACCAGCAGAGGGAGACAAAUUUUUUUAUUGAUUUCUCAUAAUUAUGGGGAAAAAAAGUUCAAGCUCAUUAUUGGAAAACAAACAGCUUGAGAGUAUAAAUCAUGUUUUUAAUAAUAGUUGUAUUAUAUUUAUAUUAUUGAAUUAAUUUGUAUUAUUUGUAUUAAAGGAGUCAUGUGAUGUGUUUUCAUGUUUUCCCUUUAGUGUGUUAUGUAGCUUCCUCCUCUUUUUUUCAGCGCACAUAAAAACCAAAAUUACCAAA
Molecule: long non-coding RNA, 1731 nt
Organism: Megalobrama amblycephala (Wuchang bream)
Lineage: Eukaryota; Metazoa; Chordata; Actinopteri; Cypriniformes; Xenocyprididae
Exons: 2
Source: RefSeq, a predicted model, not a curated record